RNAcentral lists this long non-coding RNA (260 nucleotides) under Glycine max (soybean). RNAcentral describes it as "long non-coding RNA (GMAX_LNC002556)". The record is from RNAcentral. Lineage: Eukaryota; Viridiplantae; Streptophyta; Magnoliopsida; Fabales; Fabaceae.
AGAGCUAUUCUCAUAUUUUGGAGAAUCCGAAAAACACGUUAAAGAAAGUCCCAUUCCCACUACCGAAGCAAAUUAAGAAGAUGAAGCAGCAGAGAGUGGAGUUUAUGGGCCUGGGCAUGGGCAUGGGCAUGGGCCUUUUGGUGGUGAUGAUGGCAUGUGGGUCGGCGAGUGGUGCGGAUGAUUUGGCAACCAAGUGUUCAGCGGUGAUUCAGAAGGUAAUACCGUGUUUGGAUUUCGCGAAGGGGAAGGAAGAAACGCCG